GUAAUAGCUCACUAGUCGAGAGGUCCUGCGCCGAAAAUGUCCGGGGCUGAAACACGACACCGAAGCACAGGAUACCGUAUGGUAUGGUAGAGGAGCAUUGCUGGCGCGAUGAAGCAGUACCGGAAGGAGCUGUGGAGUGCCAGGAAGAGAGAAUGCCGGAAUGAGUAGCGAGAGAGAGGUGGGAAUCCUCUCGGCCGAAUAUCCAAGGUUUCCAGGGUAAAGCUGAUCUGCCCUGGGUAAGUCGGGGCCUAAGGAGAGGCAGAAAUGCGUAUCCGAUGGACAGCAGGUUGAGAUUCCUGCACUAUCUUAAAACAGAACUGUGGGGACAUUUGUGGAAAGCACAGGCGCGGAACGGAAAGCCGCGUGCAAGCGAAGGAGGAGUCACAUAGGAAAAACCGUGUGGCAAUCCAAAGGCGUGAUGCGGACCGAAUUAAAGUAGGGAAGUGUGUGAGCCAUGAAUCAAGAAAAGCCGCUAUUGUUUUUAAGAUACCCGUACCGUAAACCGACACAGGUGGAUGAGGAGAGAAUCCUAAGGCCGGCGGGAGAAGCAUUGUUAAGGAACUCGGCAAAAUGACCCCGUAACUUCGGGAGAAGGGGUGCCAACGAGAGUUGGCCGCAGAGAAUAGGCUCAAGCAACUGUUUAGCAAAAACACAGGUCUAUGCAAAACCGUAAGGUGAGGUAUAUGGGCUGACGCCUGCCCGGUGCUGGAAGGUUAAGAGGAGAGGUUAGCGCAAGCGAAGCUUUGAAUUUAAGCCCCAGUAAACGGCGGCCGUAACUAUAACGGUCCUAAGGUAGCGAAAUUCCUUGUCGGGUAAGUUCCGACCCGCACGAAAGGCGUAAUGAUUUGAGCGCUGUCUCGACAAUGCAUCCGGUGAAAUUGAAGUACCAGUGAAGAUGCUGGUUACCCGCGCCAGGACGGAAAGACCCCAUGGAGCUUUACUCCAGUUUGGUACUGGGGUCCGGCAGUGCAUGUACAGGAUAGGUGGGAGGCUGUGAACCUGGAACGCCAGUUUCAGGGGAGCCAUUGUUGGGAUACCACCCUUGUGCUGCUGGGCUUCUAACCAGCGGCCUUUAUCAGGCCGGGGGACAAUGCCAGACGGGGAGUUUGACUGGGGCGGUCGCCUCCGAAAGGGUAUCGGAGGCGCCCAAAGGUUCCCUCAGAAUGGACGGAAACCAUUCGAAGAGUGCAAAGGCAGAAGGGAGCUUGACUGCGACACCGACGG
Molecule: ribosomal RNA, 1224 nt
Filed under: human gut metagenome
Description: bacterial LSU rRNA
Rfam family: Bacterial large subunit ribosomal RNA
Source: RNAcentral